RNAcentral lists this transfer RNA (55 nucleotides) under Whitmania pigra. Its description in RNAcentral is "tRNA-Ser". The record is from RNAcentral. Lineage: Eukaryota; Metazoa; Annelida; Clitellata; Hirudinida; Haemopidae. RNAcentral also lists the same sequence under 1 other name.
AAGGAGUAAUUGUUGGGCUUCUAACCCGAUAUAGAUGUUUGUUCAUUGCUUCUUU